This 478-nucleotide ribosomal RNA is filed under the name Salmonella enterica. RNAcentral describes it as "partial 23S ribosomal RNA". It matches the Rfam family "Bacterial large subunit ribosomal RNA", at positions 2325 to 2802 of the family's 2925-position model. Lineage: Bacteria; Pseudomonadati; Pseudomonadota; Gammaproteobacteria; Enterobacterales; Enterobacteriaceae. The record is from RNAcentral. RNAcentral also lists the same sequence under 3 other names.
UCCUGGUCGGACAUCAGGAGGUUAGUGCAAUGGCAUAAGCCAGCUUGACUGCGAGCGUGACGGCGCGAGCAGGUGCGAAAGCAGGUCAUAGUGAUCCGGUGGUUCUGAAUGGAAGGGCCAUCGCUCAACGGAUAAAAGGUACUCCGGGGAUAACAGGCUGAUACCGCCCAAGAGUUCAUAUCGACGGCGGUGUUUGGCACCUCGAUGUCGGCUCAUCACAUCCUGGGGCUGAAGUAGGUCCCAAGGGUAUGGCUGUUCGCCAUUUAAAGUGGUACGCGAGCUGGGUUUAGAACGUCGUGAGACAGUUCGGUCCCUAUCUGCCGUGGGCGCUGGAGAACUGAGGGGGGCUGCUCCUAGUACGAGAGGACCGGAGUGGACGCAUCACUGGUGUUCGGGUUGUCAUGCCAAUGGCACUGCCCGGUAGCUAAAUGCGGAAGAGAUAAGUGCUGAAAGCAUCUAAGCACGAAACUUGCCCCGA